AUUGAACGCUGGCGGCAGGCCUAACACAUGCAAGUCGAACGGUAACAGGAAGAAGCUUGCUUCUUUGCUGACGCGUGGCGGACAGGUGAGUAAUGUCUGGGAAACUGCCUGAUGUAGUGGGAUAACUCCUGGAAACGGUAGCUAAUACCGCAUAACCUCGCAACACCAAAGAGGGGGACCUUCUGGCCUCUUGCCAUCGUAUGUGCCCAGAUGGGAUUAGCUCGUAGGGGGGGUAACGGCUCCCCAAGGCGACGCUCCCUAGCUGGUCUGAGAGGAUGACCAGCCACACUGGAACUGAGACACGGUCCAGACUCCUACGGGAGGCAGCAGUGGGGAAUAUUGGACAAUGGGCGCAAGCCUGAUGCAGCCAUACCGCGUGGAUGAAGAAGGCCUUCGGGUUGUAAAGUACUUUCAUCGGGAAGGAAGAGAAUAAAGUUAAUACCUUUGUGCAUUGACGUUACCCAAAGAAGAAGCACCGGCUAACUCCGUG
RNAcentral lists this ribosomal RNA (490 nucleotides) under uncultured bacterium. RNAcentral's name for it is "partial 16S ribosomal RNA". It matches the Rfam family "Bacterial small subunit ribosomal RNA", at positions 30 to 507 of the family's 1533-position model. The record is from RNAcentral.